AUCAGGGUUUGACUAAGCCAUGCGAGUCGAGAGGUGUAAGACCUCGGCAUACUGCUCAGUAACACGUGGUUAACCUGCCCUAAGGUGGAGAAUACUCCCGGGAAACUGGGGCUAAUGCUCCAUAGUGGAUAUGUCCUGGAAUGGUAUAUCCUCGAAAGAUCCGUCGCCUUAGGAUGGGACUGCGUCCGAUUAGGUUGUUGGCGGGGUAACGGCCCACCAAGCCUUUUAUCGGUACGGGUUGUGGGAGCAAGAUCCCGGAGAUGGAUUCCGAGACAUGAAUCCAGGCCCUACGGGGCGCAGCAGGCGCGCAAACUUUACAAUGCGAGCAAUCGUGAUAAGGAAACCCUGGGUGCCUGUCGAUGCAGGCUGUUCAUAUAUCUAAAUCAUAUGUGAAGAAAGGGCAGGGCAAGACCGGUGCCAGCCGCCGCGGUAAUACCGGCUGCUCGAGUGAUGGCCACUAUUACUGGGUUUAAAGCGUCCGUAGCUUGACUGUUAGGUCUCUUGGGAAAUCUUCGCGCUCAACGUGAAGGCGUCUAAGAGAUACCGGCAGUCUUGGAACUGGGAGAGGUAAACCGUACUUCGGGGGUAGGAGUGAAAUCUUGUAAUCCUCGAGGGACGACCUAUGGCGAAGGCAGUUUACCAGAACAGCUUCGACAGUGAGGGACGAAAGCUGGGGGAGCAAACGGGAUUAGAUACCCCGGUAGUCCCAGCCGUAAACAAUGUGCGUUAGGUGUGUCGGUAACCACGUGUUACUGAUGCGCCGAAGAGAAAUCGUGAAACGCACCACCUGGGAAGUACGGUCGCAAGGCUGAAACUUAAAGGAAUUGGCGGGGGAGCACCACAACAGGUGGAGCCUGCGGUUUAAUUGGAUUCAACGCCGGACAUCUCACCGGAUAAGACAGCUGAAUGAUUGUCAAUCUGAAGGUUUUACAUGACUAGCUGAGAGGAGGUGCAUGGCCGUCGUCAGUUCGUACUGUGAAGCAUCCUGUUAAGUCAGGCAACGAGCGAGACCCA
Molecule: ribosomal RNA, 1014 nt
Filed under: uncultured Methanocorpusculum sp.
Lineage: Archaea; Methanobacteriati; Methanobacteriota; Methanomicrobia; Methanomicrobiales; Methanocorpusculaceae
Description: bacterial SSU rRNA
Rfam family: Archaeal small subunit ribosomal RNA
Source: RNAcentral